Molecule: ribosomal RNA, 630 nt
Filed under: uncultured Lachnospiraceae bacterium
Lineage: Bacteria; Bacillati; Bacillota; Clostridia; Lachnospirales; Lachnospiraceae
Description: bacterial SSU rRNA
Rfam family: Bacterial small subunit ribosomal RNA
Source: RNAcentral
UUCUUCGGGAUGAAAGUUUUGUGACUGAGUGGCGGACGGGUGAGUAACGCGUGGGUAUCCUGCCUCAUACAGGGGGAUAACAGUUAGAAAUGACUGCUAAUACCGCAUAAGACCACAGGAUUGCAUGAUCCGGUGGUAAAAACUCCGGUGGUAUGAGAUGGACCCGCGUCUGAUUAGCUAGUUGGUAAGGUAACGGCUUACCAAGGCGACGAUCAGUAGCCGACCUGAGAGGGUGACCGGCCACAUUGGGACUGAGACACGGCCCAAACUCCUACGGGAGGCAGCAGUGGGGAAUAUUGCACAAUGGGGGAAACCCUGAUGCAGCGACGCCGCGUGAGCGAUGAAGUAUUUCGGUAUGUAAAGCUCUAUCAGCAGGGAAGAAAAUGACGGUACCUGACUAAGAAGCACCGGCUAAAUACGUGCCAGCAGCCGCGGUAAUACGUAUGGUGCAAGCGUUAUCCGGAUUUACUGGGUGUAAAGGGAGCGUAGACGGAGUGGCAAGUCUGAUGUGAAAACCCGGGGCUCAACCCCGGGACUGCAUUGGAAACUGUCAAUCUAGAGUACCGGAGAGGUAAGCGGAAUUCCUAGUGUAGCGGUGAAAUGCGUAGAUAUUAGGAGGAACACCAGUGG